UGUGGGGCAAUGCUACAUGGAUGAUUG
Molecule: non-coding RNA, 27 nt
Filed under: Mus musculus (house mouse)
Lineage: Eukaryota; Metazoa; Chordata; Mammalia; Rodentia; Muridae
Source: RNAcentral